AUGGAUGUCACCAUUUCUGCCUGGCCUAGUGUCUCUUUGCUUCUGAUGUAAAUAAUUUACAGCGUUAAAGAUGAGUUAACAGCGGGUCUUUGAGGGACAGAAGAACAUUCUAGAAUGAGGGAUUGUCUUCAUAAUAAAGUACUCUGCUGGGCAGGGGACGAUUCCGCAUCGAGACAAGCAUCUUUUCCAUGGUUAUUAAUCCGGUUGGAUGGGACUUUUUAAUAAUUAAGUGGGAUGACUGGAAUGGAGGGCUGAGUAGAAGAGCAUAAGCCUGGAUUCUGCCAUUAAGGAAGCUGAUGCAGGAGAUCACCACCCAGUGAAGCCCUGUCUCAAAAUGAAGAAACAAACAAAAACCUGGGGCAAGAUGGCCGGCUCAGGGUUAAGAGUGGUUGCAGAAGACUCACACUCAGGUUGAAGCACCCGAGUCAGGUGACUCCAGUUCCAGGGCACCCAGUGGUUUUUUGGUCCUCAUCUGGCACCUGCACACACCCAUUUAAAAACAAAAACAGACACUGGAGAGACAGCUCCGCAGUUAAGAGCACUGGCUGCUCUUCCAGAGAGGCCGAGUUUGGAAGUUCCUGGCACCCACAUGGGGGUUCGCAAUUGUCUAUAAGUCUAAUUUCAGGGGAUCCAACACCUUCUGACCUCCUCAAUCAGCAGGUAUGUCCGUGGUACACAGAUAAACAUGCAGACAAAAAUUAAUAAAAUCCACACACAUAAAUAAAUAAA
Rattus norvegicus (Norway rat) is the source of this 729-nucleotide non-coding RNA. NCBI's taxonomy places the organism in Eukaryota, Metazoa, Chordata, Mammalia, Rodentia, Muridae. The record is from RefSeq and is a predicted model, not a curated record.